Molecule: transfer RNA, 73 nt
Filed under: Caudoviricetes sp.
Lineage: Duplodnaviria; Heunggongvirae; Uroviricota; Caudoviricetes
Description: tRNA-Asn
Rfam family: tRNA
About the family: Transfer RNA (tRNA) molecules are approximately 80 nucleotides in length.
Source: RNAcentral
UCUCUCGUAGUUCAGUUGGUAGAGCAGCUGGCUGUUAACCAGUUUGUCGCACGUUCGAGUCGUGCCGAGAGAG